Molecule: long non-coding RNA, 1160 nt
Organism: Triticum dicoccoides
Lineage: Eukaryota; Viridiplantae; Streptophyta; Magnoliopsida; Poales; Poaceae
Exons: 3
Source: RefSeq, a predicted model, not a curated record
AACUGUGCGUACUUGCGCCAUUCUCCUCGUUUGGCAGGAGAGGAUCCAACAACACCGCGCCGCCGCCCGCUCACAGUGUCGCCGCCCGACUCCUCCUCAACGCGCCGCAGACCAACUCCUCGAUGCCGAUGUACCUCCUCCGCCAUACUGGGCUUCUCCCCGGUGGCUAUCAUCCGAGUAGUCAUUCAUUACCCAGCUUAAGCCAAUACAGGUUACACUCCAAAUAGACCGGGUACGUGAUUCUCUCUGUAGAUAUUGUAUAGGCAAUAUUCUGCCAAGCUUAGAAAAUAUAUAUUAUCCCAAGUUUGGUGUAUAUUCAUUUUUAUUUGCAUUCAUUUCUGUUUAUAACUGGGUCAGAUGCUCAUUCAGUUGCACAUGUUUGUCUGGAUGAAUCAUGCUUAUAAAUAUUAUUUAUGCAUUGUAUUGUGCAAGUCGUCAUCAGUCACUCAAUUGAUUAGGUGGAUGUUUGUUUCUAGUCUGAAUGAUUAUGUAUCAUCCUACAUGCUUGUUCCAAGUUUUCCUUUGCCUGAAUCUUAAUCAAUUAACGGAUAAAAUCUUACAUAAUUUGUUUCUUGUUUUGUAUCCUAUUCCAAGUUGGUCUGUACUGCUUUUGUUGGAGAAGACAUGAAGAUGCAGUACUACUAUGGAAAUGUCUAACUGUUUGACAAUAUGAUUGUAGUUCUCACAUGAUUCUCUUGCUGCCGUUGAGUGAUGAUCCUUCAUAUUGUGGCUGUAUGUGUUCUCUGGUUGAUAAAGGUCAUAGUGAUUAUUUUUGUGGAGUCCCCCUUGUUAGCUUAUUUUUUCAGGUUACGUCCUCAACUAAGAUUUGUGCAAAUGGCGGACAUUUAGCUAGUGGUACAUGCCUUGCCGGGCUCCCCGACGGAUAGUGUCUGACUUGCAAGCACGGCGGAGGCUUUGUCCACGGUCCUGCAGUGGAUGAUAUUGUUUGGUCGGCAAUGAUAAAGUGCUCCCACAAUGGCUGCCAGAGCGAGUCACCUAGCACGAGCUUGACGAUCACCACAGUGCUUCUACACUUCUGUAGCAACAUGAUUACUUUUACGUGUGGAUUCUACCUGUAGCAAGUAUUUCUGCUAUGAUGUUGUUUUGCUUGUAAAGAUUGGAUUUUUGGAUGCCUUGCACCAUCGUAUAUCAAUAUAAAA